UACGUAGGGUGCGAGCGUUAAUCGGAUUUACUGGGCGUAAAGCGUGCGCAGGCGGCCCGUUAAGACAGGUGUGAAAUCCCUGGGCUCAACCUAGGAAUUGCGCUUGUGACUGGUGGGCUCGAGUACGGUAGAGGGGGGUGGAAUUCCUGGUGUAGCAGUGAAAUGCGUAGAGAUCAGGAGGAACACCGAUGGCGAAGGCAGCCCCCUGGGCCUGUACUGACGCUCAUGCACGAAAGCGUGGGGAGCAAACAGG
Molecule: ribosomal RNA, 253 nt
Filed under: uncultured microorganism
Description: partial 16S ribosomal RNA
Rfam family: Bacterial small subunit ribosomal RNA
Source: RNAcentral